UACGUAGGGGGCAAGCGUUAUCCGGAUUUACUGGGUGUAAAGGGAGCGUAGACGGCGAAGAAAGUCUGAAGUGAAAGCCCGCGGCUUAACCGCGGAACUGCUUUGGAAACUUUUUUGCUGGAGUACCGGAGAGGUAAGCGGAAUUCCUAGUGUAGCGGUGAAAUGCGUAGAUAUAAGGAAGAACACCAGUGGCGAAGGCGGAUGACUGGACGGCAACUGACGGUGAGGCGCGAAAGCGUGGGGAGCAAAAAGG
This 253-nucleotide ribosomal RNA is filed under the name uncultured Lachnospiraceae bacterium. Its description in RNAcentral is "partial 16S ribosomal RNA". It matches the Rfam family "Bacterial small subunit ribosomal RNA", at positions 524 to 776 of the family's 1533-position model. The record is from RNAcentral. Lineage: Bacteria; Bacillati; Bacillota; Clostridia; Lachnospirales; Lachnospiraceae.